Trachemys scripta elegans is the source of this 8306-nucleotide RNA transcript. It is a transcript of the gene named collagen alpha-3(IV) chain-like, with no coding region annotated. The transcript has 52 exons. The record is from RefSeq and is a predicted model, not a curated record. Lineage: Eukaryota; Metazoa; Chordata; Testudines; Emydidae.
CCCUGCCGUCCCCUCACACACUGUGCCGUUUGGCAGCAAGGCGCACGUGAGGCUGAUGAGAAGACACCCAGGGCUGGAUCCCAGCAAACCCCCAGCAGCGGCGGCGCCACGCCCUGGGUUCUACGGUACCCACCAGAGUUGUGUCUGCAAAGGUAAAAGCCACUGCUACUGUGAUGGAAUGAAAGGUAAUAAGGGUGAAAAAGGAUUUUCUGGUGCUCAAGGUGUACCUGGCCAGACAGGUUUCUGUGGCCCUGAGGGACCUCCAGGGCCACAGGGACCCACGGGUUUUCCAGGGCAGAUAGGUUUAGUCGGACCCAAAGGUGAAAGGGGAAUGCUAGGAUUACCUGGUUUUUCAGGUCUCCCAGGUCUUCCAGGUGAACCAGGAAACAUUGGUCCUCCUGGAGGUCCAGGAAUUCCAGGAUGCAAUGGCCCAAAGGGUGAACAAGGAUUUCCAGGGCCUCCAGGGCCAGGAGGUGCUCCAGGCAAACCAGGUAUUGAUGGCCUCAAAGGAGAUAAGGGGUGCCCUGCAAGUGGAUAUGACCCGGGAUAUGAUGGAAGAGGUGACCCUGGAUUACCAGGAAUACGUGGACGCCAGGGUGAACCAGGUCCUCGAGGACUCCAAGGGCUAGUUGGACCACAAGGCCCUCUGGGAUCUUCAGGUGUUUCAGGGAGAAUGGGACUUCCAGGACGUAAGGGUGUCAUGGGGAUUAAGAUCAUAGGAACCAAAGGAAUACAGGGUGAUCCUGGAUCAGCAGGACCCCCUGGGCUCCCAGGAACAGUUAUUGUGACAUUAAGCGGACCAGAUAAUAUGAAGGGCUUGAAAGGAGAUAAAGGAGAGAAAGGAUCAAGGGGUCUCCCAGGACCAGUUGGGUCAUUGGGUUUUCCUGGAGAUUUUCAAAGUGAAAAAGGUGACCCAGGAGAGCCUGGCCCGCAGGGUAAACCUGGAAAAGAUGGUACCCCCGGUCCACAUGGCUUUCUGGGAGAGAAGGGUGAACGCGGCUACCCAGGAUCACCUGGCGUAGCAGGCACUAAGGGGAGGAAAGGAGACAUUGGCCCACCAGGAUUUCCUGGUCCCACAAAGUAUUAUGAUGAGGUGGCUGGUGAAAAAGGAGAUGAAGGAUAUCCAGGACCCCCAGGACUUAAAGGUCAACCUGGCAUACCUGGGCCAAGAGGUCCCCUAGGUGUGACAGGAAGACCAGGUGUAUCGAGACCUGGCAUAAAUGGUCCACAAGGAUAUCCAGGACUGAAAGGAAAUAAGGGAGAGAAAGGACAGCCUGGCAUGAAUGCUGUGGGAUCUCCAGGACUUCAUGGGUUUCCAGGCAGACCUGGUUCUGUAGGAUCACCAGGUCCUGCAGGACAGCCAGGUAAAGUAACGUUUGAAACGCACCCACCAGGAGUUCCAGGAAACCCCGGAUGUGUGGGACCUCCAGGACUUCCAGGAGACAGUGGAGUGAAAGGUGAAGAAGCAAGUCCUUGUAAUCAAUGCAGUUAUAUACCAGGAGGACCUGGACUUCCUGGUGCUCCUGGGCAAGAUGGUCAAGAAGGAGUUACUGGUAGACAAGGAAUAAGUGGUCCCAAAGGAUCUCGAGGUUCUCCAGGGGCACAAGGGCCUUCAGGUCCUCAAGGACUUCCAGGUUUUCCAGGAGAUCAAGGACUGAAAGGGCCAAACGGUGAACCAGGAUAUGUGUAUCCAGAAGGGCAAAAAGGAAACAGAGGAGAUCCAGGGAUCAGAGGAAAUCCAGGGAGGAAAGGUUCAGAUGGAUUGCACAAAAAACAUGGUUCAAAAGGCUCAAAAGGUCCUAAAGGCGAAAGGGGACUGGAUGGUUCGAAAGGGGACAGAGGGUUAUCAGGAUUGCCUGGUAACCCAGGUCUUCCUGGAGAAAUGGGGCUCACUGGACCACCAGGAUAUGGACCACAAGGAAUGACAGGUCCCAAAGGCGCUAAGGGAAUGUCUGGAUUGCCUGGAUUGCCUGGAGCAAUUGGUCCGAAAGGAGAACUUGGUACAGUAAAUCCAAUACCUGGACCACCAGGACCUCGGGGGCCAGAGGGUUUACCAGGACCCCCAGGAGCAAUGGGUAAUGUUGGAUCUAGAGGACAACACGGUGAUUUGGGAUUACCUGGGUCUGAUGGUGCUCCAGGAUUUUCAGGGACUGGAUUUCCUGGAGAUCCUGGUCCAAAAGGGGAUAAAGGUCUUCGAGGGUCUAAAGGAUUACCAGGUUUGCCAGGAAAGGCAGGAGAACCAGGCUCGCCUGGACAGCCUGGAUACCCAGGAGAAAAGGGAGACCCUGGAUUAAUUAUUCCUGGCCAACAGGGUGGAUUAGGUUCCCCAGGACAAGGCGGCUUUCCAGGGGUAAAAGGUGACAGAGGAAUUCCAGGUCUACCAGGAUUCCCAGGACAUAAUGGUGCUGAUGGGCCAAGAGGAGAACCUGGCUGUCCCGGAGCUCCCGGAGAAAAGGGACUUCCAGGGAAGCUUGGUGAUUGUCUUAUUGGUCCACCAGGUCUCCCAGGUGCACAUGGUUUAACAGGUCAACAAGGAGAAAGAGGUGUACUAGGAUCAAAAGGAGACCCCAGUAUUCCAGGCUUGGGUGUCCCAGGAUUCCCUGGACAAUUUGGGCUGCCUGGAUUGCCAGGUCACCAAGGAGACACAGGAUCACCUGGUCUCAAGGGUCAGCCUGGCAGACCAGGAAUACCAGGUGCACCAGGCCAAAGAGGAGAACGAGGUAUAAUGGGCAAUUUAGGAAUUCCUGGACCUCCUGGUGUCUUUGGACACCCAGGCAUUCCAGGAAACAGAGGUUCUCCUGGCCUUCCAGGACUGAAGGGAAGAAAAGGGUUUUUAGGGGCAAAGGGUGAACCAGGUGAUAAAGGAUUUCCUGGACCAUCAGAGACCAGAGGGAAUCCUGGGGAUAAAGGAGAACCAGGAUCAAAAGGAUUUCCAGGAAGAAUAGGUCUGAAAGGAGAAAGAGGAGAUAAAGGUAUACAAGGAUCAGCAGGGCUUGAUGGGACAUCAGGAGUAUCAGGUCUGCCAGGUCCCAAAGGAUUUGUAGGUCUACAAGGAAUUCCUGGAAGACAAGGAUUACCAGGACCUCCAGGAGACAGAGGUGAUAUGGGAGUGCCAGGUUCUAAAGGGGAGAGAGGAUCUCAAGGUUUACCAGGACCAUCCGGUGCACAAGGCCCUCCAGGCCUUCUUGGUUUUCCAGGUGAUAAAGGAGAACCAGCUAGUUCAGCAUCUGGGCCUCCAGGAAAACCAGGACCAAAGGGUGAUCCAGGUCCCCCAGGAGAAAUGGGAAGAAAAGGGGAAAGAGGAUCACCAGGUCAGCCAGGACUUGUAGGAGAACCUGGACUACCUGGAAACAGGGGGGAUUGUGGAAAACCAGGAGCUCCAGGGCCAUCUAAAUGUGCCGGAGAUACUGGCGCUAAAGGGUGCAAGGGGGUGGCAGGACCGAGAGGCACUGAAGGCCCUCCAGGUGCAAUAGGAGCUCCUGGAGCCAACGGAGCUGUUGGGGAAAGGGGGAAUCAAGGACGGGAUGGUAUUCCUGGCUCCCCAGGGGAAAAGGGAGAACGAGGUGCACCAGGAUGGCAGAUUAAAGGUCCGCAAGGUAUUUCUGGUCCUAAAGGAAUCAAAGGUGAUGUGGGGAUUCCUGGUUGUCCAGGACCAGAAGGUAUUAAAGGUCUAAUGGGGGAUCCAGGACCAAUUGGACCUCCUGGAUUGAAUGGAAAGCCAGGAUUCCCAGGUGCACCAGGCAUAAUGAUUCCUGGCCAGAAAGGAAAUAGAGGUCUUGCCGGAGUGGAUGGACGACUGGGUAUUCCUGGUAGACCAGGAUCUUCUGGAACCCCUGUGUACAGCAUAAAAGGAAACAAAGGUGUUAGAGGUAUAGAUGGCAUACCAGGACCACCAGGAUUGGUAGGCAAUAUUGGUCCUCCAGGUUUAACAGGAGUUGAAGGCACCCCAGGCAAUUCAGGCCCUAGAGGUGAACCUGGCUUUCCAGGACUUCCAGGUGUAACCGGAGAAAAGGGUAAUCGAGGACCCCCUGGACCAAUGGGUGCAGCAGGAUCUAUCGGACCAAAGGGCCCCCCUGGUCAGCCUGGAGCACCUAGGAAAGCAACAUAUAUCCCAGGAAACCAAGGACCUGCUGGAUCACCUGGAAGCCCAGGACUACCAGGAGAUCCAGGACCUCGAGGGCCACCAGGAUUACAUGGACGUCAAGGUGUAAAAGGCCUACCAGGCCAUUGUGGAAAUCCAGGCAUAGUUGGACCAGUUGGUCCAAAAGGAGACAAAGGAUUUCAAGGACAAAGAGGAUCUCCUGGGCUUAUUGGCUUUCCAGGAGUACGGGGCCUACCUGGUUCCCCGGGUAUUUCAAUACCUGGUCCAACAAGAAGAGGCUUCAUCUUUACCCGGCACAGCCAGUCAACAAAGAUUCCUUCAUGCCCAUCUGGGACAGCUCAGAUCUACAGUGGUUAUUCUCUUCUCUUUGUACAAGGAAAUGAGCAAGCACAUGGCCAAGACCUUGGGACAGUUGGUAGCUGCCUGCAGCGAUUUACCACCAUGCCAUUUUUAUUCUGUAACACCAAUGACGUUUGCAGUUUUGCUUCUCGCAAUGACUAUUCAUACUGGCUGUCAACUGCAGCACCAAUGCCAGAAGACAUGGCACCAAUCUCUGGCAGAGCCUUACAGCCCUAUAUUAGCAGAUGUAUUGUUUGUGAAGGACCAGCAGUGGUAAUAGCAGUUCACAGCCAAACAACUGCAAUUCCUUUAUGUCCUCAAGGCUGGAUAUCUCUCUGGAAGGGUUUUUCCUUUGUUAUGUUUUGUGGUUACAGUACACAAGUGCCGGUUCAGAAGCCUCUGGCCAAGCAUUGGCAUCACCUGGAUCCUGCUUGGAAGAAUUCCGUGCCAUUCCAUUCAUAGAAUGUCAUGGUAGAGGGACAUGCAACUACUACACAAAUUCCUACAGCUUCUGGCUGGCUUCACUAGAUCCAAGAAGAAUGUUCAGGAAGCCUUUACCACAGAUUUUAAAAGCAGGGGAAUUGGAAAACGUCAUCAGCCGCUGUCAGGUCUGCAUGAAGAGAGACAGAAAUUCUUGACAGAGCAUCAAACUUUGCUUUUAUUGCAAAGAAUAGCCUAACUCUCCAGAAUGUGCAUUUAUUAAAGCCAAACUGUUUCUGGACAAUGAGCUCUAAAAUGCUAGUGCAGCAUUUUGAUUUUCUUUUUUCUAAACAAAUUGCAAAGCACUUUUUUGGAGAAGGCUGUUGUAAUGGCAGUACUACAGAUCUUCAUCUUCUGAACUGUGAGGCAAGGUGGAUGAUGUAAUCUUUUAUUGAACCAACUUCUCUGGGUGAGGAAAAAAAGCGUCUGGGAUUUAGGUGGACCGUAGAGUUAAGUCCGUGACUUAAGAGCUUCCAUGGCAUUCCUGAGUGAACGCAAACCUUCAGUUAUAAGUCUGUUUUUAAAAAUGCACUGCAAAAAGAAACACAAAAUCUACACCUUUUAUAAAGUAUUUGAAACAUUAAAUAUUUGUCAUGAACAUCUGCAGAAAUAAAACCUCCUAUUCCAUCUAGUCAGGUGAAAGUAUCUUAAAAUAAAAGAUUUGUUAUGAGUGAUAGUCAAAUGGUCAAAUAGUCAAAUCUGAGCACUGAUUUACACCAGUGAAUUCAACUGUAAAUGGAUUUAAAUACUUGAUAAGCACUUUCUAUAAAUUAAAUGACUAAAACUGUAGCUCUGAAUAUUUUGGUAUUUAUGAUAUUGUACAUGCAGCACUAUUUAAAAUUUUAAUGUUGACAUUUAAAAAGUUAAUAACUUUUAAUACUUGCACACAACUAUCAGAAUUCCAGUUCAAUUAUUUAAUUUUAUAGAUAAAGCAUAAUUAAUUUGACAAGUUUAAUAAAUGCCUCAUUUUAAAUGUAGGGUCUAGAAGUCAGCUGAAGGAUCUAGAAGUCAGUUGAAGUAAGAAAGAUUUCUCAUUGAGGCCUAUUUUUUGCAAGUAAAAUAUUUUAUAUUUAUUUAUUAAAAUAUUUCCAGUAUGUUUGUAUUAAUACUCCAAUUUUCUCUGUUAAUAUAACUAGAAACAGUUUCCCCCAUAUGUAACAUGCCAGGGUCAUCUGCUUAAGCUAAUUUAAACACAGCAUUUACAUUAAUUGAAUUAAUAUUAAAGAUUUUUAUUUCCUUAAAUAGAUUGCAGUAUCUCUGUUUGGGCAAAACACAAUUCAAAAUAUUACACUUUUUAUAAAAUACUCUCAGCAGAUGCAUGUUGCUGAUAAGAGGGCACUGUGAGGUGUAAAAGUCUUUCCUUCAAAUCUGCUUAUAUCUUCAGAUGUGACAAUCACAUGUCAUGUUUUUUUCCCUGAGUCCUAAAUUCUGCUGUAAAUACAGGAAAAUACCCACCAUUUCUUUUGAAAACUGUUCACUAUUAGGGUGAGGAUAAACUCAGCAUCAACAGAUGCACAUGAAGGCAUUAUAUCAGUUUCUGAGUCCCUCUGAGAGCAUACUUGUAAAAUCCAGACCUUAAGUCCAUCAGAGUUAAGACCACUGGAGAUGCACAGUAGGGUAUGAAAUAUAGUGUAACGUGUAUAUUACCUGGAUUAUUACAAAGUUUUAAACUCAGCAGUAAAAGAUGGCGAAUGUAGUCUAGCAGUUAGAGCAUGAGAUGAAGUCAGGUGAUCAGGGUUUUGUUUCCAGGUCUGGACUCUGCCACUCACUUACUGUGUGGCCCUGGACAAGUCACGUUGGCUAAAAUAUUUUGGGCAGCUUCAGACUUUUCAUAAGUGAUGAGCACUCGCAGCUCCCAUUAACUGCAACUGGAGAUGAAAGUGUUCAGCACCUCUGAAAAUCAAACCCAGCAGGUUUUAAAUUGGGCACAAUCAAAGGCCAUUUUUUGAAAAUGUUGGCCUUAAAAAUAUCUUUAUGCCUCACUUUCCUAUCACUCAGCAUUGUGAAUAUUAGCUAGCUAAUGUCUGUAAAGUGCUUUGAGAGCCUUGGGGAAAAGGUGCUAAAGAAGUGCAAAGUGUUAAUAUAUUGUAUUAAAAGAAUGCAAGUGGCACUAUGGGCAAUCAGAAAUAAUGAGCAAAUAAUCAAAAAGACGGGAAAAGAAAUCCUUUCACUAAACGCAACCAAAUAAGUAACUCUGACUGUAUAGGGAAAAGUUCAUUAAACUUAUUUCUUUCCCUCCUUGCCACUGUGUAUAUAUAAAAAUAUCCAAAUAUUUAAUAGCUUGUCUUCUGAUUAAAAACCAUAAAUGGGGCUAUAUCAUUCUGCCAGGUUUUGAGCAGAACUCCCUUUUUAACAUCACAACUUUCAGCUUGGACAACAAAAUAAAAAGGGUAAAUCACAGAAGGGUGACACCUAUGAUAUCUGAUAUUUCAAAUAAAUAUAGUGCUGGUUGCUUUUAGAACAGGGUGAAAUCCUGGCUCCAUUGAGGUCAAUGGAAGUUUUGUUAUUUCAUGCCAGACAUCUGGAAGGGAGAAUAAAGCAAUGCUCACAGUAAAAAGACAGAGAAGUCCUACAAAGCAGAGUCCUCUGAAACCAUUUCCACUACUGUACAUGCACAGUCUGCCUGCUAUGUAUCUCACCAAGAGAAACUUAAACAAGCCUUGCCUGCCAUCCACCUGUAUAAUCUAUUACAGUAAGAAUACUUCAAGCCCUGUCUGUCUCCGUGCCCUCAGGAAAUGCAACCAACCUAAUGUUUCUUAACGUGAGGCUGUUUUUUAUAGUUGGUUUGAUGUCUUGGUGCUUUACACUGUUGAUAGUUUCAUGUCAUUUAGUUUAUACCAAUUUAUGGAGGGGAGGGAUAGCUAAGUGGUUUGAGCAUUGGCCCACUAAACCCAGGGUUGUGAGUUCAAUCCUUAGGGGGGCCAUUUAGGGAUCUGGGGCAUAAAUUGGUCUUGCUGAAGACAGGGGACUGAACUUAACUCAAUGACCUUCCAAGGUCCCUUUCAGCUCUAUGAGAUAUAUAAGCCAAACCCUCACUGUAUCUAUUGGAUUUAUGCAGUCUUUCAUUUGAACCAUUCAUUGACCAUGGAAAUCACUGUAGCUAAAAUUGUUCCCAUCUCCCAGUUUCUUUUUAAAUAUUUCCCUGAAGGAUUUAUAAAAUUAGAUCAGUGACUCCCAGAGGUCAGUUACUUUCCCAGUCAGUGAAGAUUUGAGAAUAGCAGGUUACAGUUAUUCUGCGCAUUGGAGCGAUUGUGUCUUUUGACUAGGGUUACCAUACGUCCGGUUUUUCGGCAAUCAAACCCCCGUCUGGGGGGAAUUGCCAAAAAGCCGAACAUGUCCGGGAAAAUGCCAGCCGGGCACUUCCCCUCUCGCGGCGGCUCUGCUC